Molecule: ribosomal RNA, 1335 nt
Filed under: uncultured bacterium
Lineage: Bacteria
Description: bacterial SSU rRNA
Rfam family: Bacterial small subunit ribosomal RNA
Source: RNAcentral
GGACGAACGCUGGCGGCGUGCUUAACACAUGCAAGUCGAACGGGAGUAUUGAAGAAGCUUGCUUUAGAGAUACUUUAGUGGCGGACGGGUGAGUAACGCGUGAGGAGCUGUCCUAUGCAGGGGGACAACAGCUGGAAACGGCUGCUAAUACCCCAUAAGCCGAGAGGUAAAAGGAUCAAUCCGGCAGAGGAGGUACUCGCGUCCUAUCAGCUAGUAGGUGAGGUAACGGCUCACCUAGGCGAAGACGGGUAGCCGGCCUGAGAGGGCGAACGGCCACACUGGAACUGAGAUACGGUCCAGACUCCUACGGGAGGCAGCAGUGGGGAAUAUUGGGCAAUGGGGGAAACCCUGACCCAGCAACGCCGCGUGGGUGAAGAAAUCCUUCGGGAUGUAAAGCCCUGUUGUAUGGGAAGAGCGGAAGACGGUACCAUACGAGGAAGCCCCGGCAAACUACGUGCCAGCAGCCGCGGUAAUACGGAGGAGGCGAGCGUUGUUCGGAAUCAUUGGGCGUAAAGGGCUUGUAGGCGGACGGGUGUGUCCGGCGUGAAAUCUCCACUGCUUACCAGGGAGGGUGCGCUGGAAACUGCUUGUCUGGAGUAUGACAGAGGGUCGCGGAAUUCCGGGUGUAGCGGUGGAAUGCGUAGAUAUCCGGAGGAACACCGGUGGCGAAGGCGGCGGCCUGGGUCAAUACUGACGCUGAGGAGCGAAAGCUAGGGUAGCAAACAGGCUUAGAUACCCUGGUAGUCCUAGCUGUAAACGGUGGAUACUAGGUGUGGGAGGUAUUGACCCCUUCUGCGCCGGAGCUAACGUAUUAAGUAUCCCGCCUGGGAAGUACGGCCGCAAGGUUGAAACUCAAAGGAAUUGACGGGGGCCCGCACAAGCGGUGGAGCAUGUGGUUUAAUUCGACGCAACGCGAAGAACCUUACCCGGGCUCGAACGGCUGUUCACAUGGGUAGAAAUAUCCUGUUCUCUUCGGAGGAGUACAGUCGAGGUGCUGCAUGGCUGUCGUCAGCUCGUGUCGUGAGAUGUUGGGUUAAGUCCCGCAACGAGCGCAACCCUUACUAAUAGUUACCAUCGGUUCAAGCCGGGGACUCUAUUGGGACUGCCUGCGACAAGCAGGAGGAAGGUGGGGACGACGUCAAGUCAUCAUGGCCCUUACGUCCGGGGCUACACACGUGCUACAAUGGUCGGCACAAAGAGAAGCAAAGUCGCGAGACGGAGCCAAUCUGGAAAAUCCGACCCCAGUUCGGAUAGGAGUCUGCAAUUCGACUCCUUGAAGUCGGAAUCGCUAGUAAUCGCAGAUCAGAAUGCUGCGGUGAAUACGUUCCCGGGCCU